GACGAACGCUGGCGGCGUGCUUAACACAUGCAAGUCGAACGAGAAGAGAUGAGAAGCUUGCUUCUUAUCAAUUCGAGUGGCAAACGGGUGAGUAACGCGUAAGCAACCUGCCCUUCAGAUGGGGGACAACAGCUGGAAACGGCUGCUAAUACCGAAUACGUUCUUUUUGUCGCAUGGCAGAGGGAAGAAAGGGAGGCUCUUCGGAGCUUUCGCUGAAGGAGGGGCUUGCGUCUGAUUAGCUAGUUGGAGGGGUAACGGCCCACCAAGGCGACGAUCGGUAGCCGACCUGAGAGGGUGAUCGGCCACAUUGGAACUGAGAAACGGUCCAG
This 329-nucleotide ribosomal RNA is filed under the name uncultured bacterium. RNAcentral's name for it is "bacterial SSU rRNA". It matches the Rfam family "Bacterial small subunit ribosomal RNA", at positions 28 to 334 of the family's 1533-position model. The record is from RNAcentral.